Molecule: ribosomal RNA, 497 nt
Filed under: uncultured bacterium
Lineage: Bacteria
Description: partial 16S ribosomal RNA
Rfam family: Bacterial small subunit ribosomal RNA
Source: RNAcentral
GAUGAACGCUGGCGGCGUGCCUAAUACAUGCAAGUCUAGCGAACAGAUGAGGAGCUUGCUCCUCUGACGUUAGCGGCGGACGGUUGAGUAACACGUGGAUAACCUACCUAUAAGACUGGGAUAACUUCGGGAAACCGGAGCUAAUACCGGAUAAUAUAUUGAACCGCAUGGUUCAAUAGUGAAAGAUGGUUUUGCUGUCACUUAUAGAUGGAUCCGCGCCGCAUUAGCUAGUUGGUAAGGUAACGGCUUACCAAGGCAACGAUGCGUAGCCGACAUGAGAGGGAGAGCGGGCAGACUGGAAAUGAGAAACGGUCAAGAGUGCUACGGGAGGCAGCAGUAGGGAAUAUGCCGCGAAGGGCGAAAGACUGACGGAGCAACGCCGCAAGAGUGAUGAAGGUAUUCGGAUCGUAAAAAGCUGUUAUUAGGGAAGAAAAAUUGUGUAAGUAACUAUGCACGUCUUGACGGUACCUAAUCAGAAAGCCACGGCUAAAUACGUG